Non-coding RNA from Capsicum annuum, 650 nucleotides. NCBI's taxonomy places the organism in Eukaryota, Viridiplantae, Streptophyta, Magnoliopsida, Solanales, Solanaceae. The record is from Rfam.
UACCUGGUUGAUCCUGCCAGUAGUCAUAUGCUUGUCUCAAAGAUUAAGCCAUGCAUGUGUAAGUAUGAACAAAUUCAGACUGUGAAACUGCGAAUGGCUCAUUAAAUCAGUUAUAGUUUGUUUGAUGGUAUCUACUACUCGGAUAACCGUAGUAAUUCUAGAGCUAAUGGAGCUCGCGUUCGAGUUCUAUCGGGUAAAGCCAAUGAUUAGAGGCCUCGGGGGCACAACGCCCUCGACCUAUUCUCAAACUUUAAAUAGGUAGGACGGUGUGGCUGCUUGGCUGAGCCGCACCACGGAAUCAAGAGCUCGAAGUGGGCCAUUUUUGGUAAGCAGAACUAGCGAUGCGGGAUGAAUCGAAAGCCGGGUUAUGGUGCCAAACUGCGCGCUAACCUAAAUCCCACAAAGGGUUUUGGUCGAUUAAGACAGCAGGACGGUGGUCAUGGAAGUCGAAAUCCGCUAAGGAGUGUGUAACAACUCACCUGCCGAAUCAACUAGCCCCGAAAAUGGAUGGCUCUUAAGCGCGGGACCUGCACCCGGCCGUCGGCGCAAGUGUCAGGCCCAGAUGAGUAGGAGGGCACGACGGUCACUGCAAAACCUUGAGCGCAAGCCCGGGCGGAGAGGCCGUCGGUGCAGAUCUUGGUGGUAGUAGC